RNAcentral lists this ribosomal RNA (376 nucleotides) under uncultured bacterium. Its description in RNAcentral is "bacterial SSU rRNA". It matches the Rfam family "Bacterial small subunit ribosomal RNA", at positions 833 to 1214 of the family's 1533-position model. The record is from RNAcentral.
CUGUUUGAUCUUGACGGAGCAAAUGGACCAAGUACCCCGACUGGGGAGUAUGGUCGCAAGGCUAAAACUCAUUAGGAAUUGACGGGGGCUCACACAAGCGGUGGAGCAUGUUGUUCAAUUCGAAGCAACGCGAAGAACCUUACCUGGGUUUGACAUUCUUGGGACCGCCUGGGAAAGCAGGUUUCCUCUUUGAGGCCCUUUUACAGGUGUUGCAUGGCUGUCGUCAGCUCCUAUUUGUGAGAUGUCCGGUUAAGUCCCAUAACGAGCGAAACCCUUGUCCUUAAUUGCCAGCGGGCAAGCCGGGCUACUUUAGGGAGACUGCCCGGUUAAACCCAGGAAGUGGGCCACCUCAGCAUCAUUGCUUUAUGCCCAGGGG